This 5998-nucleotide long non-coding RNA is filed under the name Homo sapiens (human). RNAcentral describes it as "HSALNT0352751". The record is from RNAcentral. Lineage: Eukaryota; Metazoa; Chordata; Mammalia; Primates; Hominidae.
GAAAUGCUGCAGAGACCCAGCCGGAAACAGUGCUGGCCAGCUCACGCCUGACCCACCCUUAUUCUAAGCAUAGGGUCUGCCUCUGAAGAGCUAAAGACUUCCUGAAAUUUAAAAAUUAGUGCUUUUAUUUGCUUGUCCUGCUAAGACCGUAGGCAAAGGCCAUCCUCCUCCCAUUGACAGUUUAGAGUGGGCAGAAACAACCACGGUUACCCUAGAAGUAAAUCCAGAGCUGCGGGACGCUGGAGGACAAAACCAACCUUCCAGGGAAGCCGAGGAGAAGUCAUGCCUUCAAAAGAUGAAGGAACGAGGGCACAGAGAGAUUCGAGUUGUCACCCAAGCUCACAUAGCACCAGUGACAGAGAUGAAGAAACUGACAUCUGGAGAAGUUGAAGUAAUUUGCACAAAGAUUCACUUGGCUAACGGAGUUUUGCUCUGUCACCCAGGCUGGAGUGCAAUGGCCCGAUCUCGCCUCACUGCAACCUCCACCUCCCGAGUUCAAGAGAUUCUCCUGCCUCAGCCUCCCAGGGGCUGGGAAGUUCAAGAUCCAGGCCUCAGAAGAUUUGGGGUUUGGUGAGGGCCAUCUUCUCACUGUAGCCUUACAUGGUGGAAGAGUUCAUGGACCAUUGUUGUUGCCUCUAAUAAGAGGCAUGUGUUUUCUCCAUCAGUUCAUGGAACCAUUGUUGUUGACUCUAAAAAGAAGAGAAAAGUGCUCAAGUAUCUUCACAGGAAGGCCAUUUAGAUGGUGGGUCUUUGAGUCAUGGAUCUCUCUUUAAAAAUUCUACCAAGAAACACAGACACCAAAUUUUGCAUGCAAUUUCAGGGACUUAUGGACCCCAGCUUGACUUGUCAGCCUCACAGGAAAACUAGUGGUGGGAUUUCAUUUCCAUUCUACCAAAUGAAUUUCAGUUGAUUAAAAAAUGACCAAUUGUUACACUCCAUAGAUCAGAAUCUAGCCUUUUAUACAUCUGUGAAUAUAAUCUUUUGCAGAGAUUAUUAGCCCUGUUGAAACUAAUUUUUUUUUUUUUUUUUUAGAUGGAGUCUCUGUCACCCAGGCUGGAAUGCAGUGGCUUAAUCUUGGCUCACUGCAAGCUCCACCUCCCGGGUUCACACCAUUCUCCUGCCUCAGCCUCCUGAGUAGCUAGGACUACAGGCGCCAGCCACCACGCCCAGCUAAUUUUUUUUUUUUUUUUGUACUUUUAGUAGAGACGGGGUUUUACCGUGUUAGCCAGGAUGGUCUCGAUCUCCUGAACUCGUGAUUCGCCCACCAUGGCCUCCCAAAGUGCUAGGACUACAGGCGUGAGCCACCAUACCCGGCCCUGAAACCAAUUUUAAAACACUGAAUCUCUAUCAAGCCCUCACAAUGUGCUUACCACGACUAAAUGUAUUUAUAUACAUCAUUUUAAUUCUUAAAGUCUGCAUAGAUGAAUGCACUAAAAUACUCAAGAGUAAGUAACUUUUCUAGAGUCACACAGUUUUUGAGUCACAAACUUCAAAGCCAGUAUCUAACCACCAUCUACUCCUUUGCUUUCCCACCCUAGAAGGAAAACUUUACUCUCCACCUACUAUGGUUACAAAUUUUGUAAGAUGUGUUUUCCCUGGUAGAAGAGGCUUCAAGUAACAAUCUACACCUAAUAAUAUCCAACAUUAAUUUUGAAAUUCUGACCAUUGAUCUUCAUGAAGUUCAAAAGGAAUUUACUUUUUCAGUUCUAAAAUUAACACGACCAAUUUAGUAAUUCAGAAGAUUAUUUUUGUCCAUUGUACUAGCUUAUGAUCUCCUUGAAAGCUGAAACUAUGAAUGCCUCACUUAUCCUGCUCACAUGUGGCACGCCUAGGCCUUAGGAAGAUGCCCAGUGUCAAAUACAGGAAUGUGUUUGCUCCUCUCAGUUCUCAAUGGCUUCCCAGAAGAUACCAUAGCUUCCCACAGAUGUAAACCAGGAGAAUCCUCUUGUAACAGCUUUAACAGGCCUGUUUCAUUUUAUUUCUACUGAGUAGCAUACAUCUAGCUCAUUUUAAAAUCCAGCUCUUGAUCUUUAGUUUUAAAAAUAUGUACCACUGGCUGGGCAUGGUGGCUCACGCCUGUAAUUCCAGCACUUUGGGAGGCAGAGGCAGGUGGAUCACCAGAGGUUGGGAAUUCGAAACCAGCCUAACCAACAUGGAGAAACCCCAUGUCUACUAAAAAUACAAAAUUAGCCAGAUGUGGUGGCGCAUGCCUGUAGUCCCAGCUAUUCAGGAGGCUGAGGCAGGAGAAUCGCUUGAACUCGGGAGGCGGAGGUUGCGGUGAGCUGAGAUUGUGCCAUUGCACUCCAACCUGGGCAACAAGAGUGAAACUCUGUCUCAAAAAAAAAAAAAAAAAAAAAAAAAAAAAAAAAAAUUGUGUAACACUGGCCAGGCGCGGUGGCUCACGCCUGUAAUCCCAGAGGCAGGUGGAUCACAUGAGGUCAGGAGUUCGAGACCAGCCUGGUCAACAUGGGGAAACCAGGUCUCUACUAAAAAUACAAAAAUUAGUGGGGCAUCAUGGUGCAUGCCUGUAAUCCCAGCUACUUGGGAGGCUGAGGCAGGAGAAUCGCUUGAACCCUGGAGGUGGAGGUUGCAGUGAGCCAAGAUCAUGCCAUUGCAUUCCAGCCUGGGCAACAGAGUGAGAUUCCUCUCAAAAAAAAAAAAAAAAAAAGAAAGAAAGAAAGAAAGAGAAAAAAAAAGUGUACUGCUGAAAAACUAACUUUAAAGUUUGAAAUGCUAUUAUUCAGUACCAGGUAUUAUGUUCAAACCAAUGUGGGGGCUUCCGUAUAAGGGGCUACACAUCAUUGGGCAGAUUUGAUUAGCUGUGACAAUUGUUUAGAGUCCUUAAAGAAGGCUUUAAGCACAGUCUAGGAGUGUACUAUGUGAUACGGUUUGGAUAUUUGUCGCCACCCAAAUCUUAUGUUGAAUUAUAAUCCCCAGUGCUAGAGGUGGGCCUGGUGGGAGGUGAAUUGAUCAUGGGGGCGAUUUCUUAUGGCUUAACACCACAUACUCUUGCUGUUGUCAUUGUGAUAAUGAGUUCUUGUGAGAUCUGGUCAUUUAUAAGUGUGUGGCACCUCAACCUUCUCUCUCUUCCUCCUGCUCCCUCUUUGCCUUCCACCAUGAGUAAAAGCUCCCUGAGGCCUCCCCAGAAGCAGAUGCUGCCAUGCUUCCUGUAGUCUGUGGAACUGUGAGCCAAUUAAACCUCUUUUCUUUAUAAAUUACUCAAUCUCAGGUAUUUCUUUACAGCAACACAAGAAUGGCAUAAUACACUACGUAAUAAUAGCCACAUAUGAGUAGUGAGCACUUGAAAUGUGGCUAGUCUUAAUUGAGAUAUGCUCUAAGAAAUUGAAGAUAGUACAUAUAGCACAUUUUAAAAUGUGGCUAUUAGAAAUUUUUAAAUUACAUGUUGGCCUACAUUAAAUUCUAUUGGAAGCCGGGCGCAGUGGCUCACGCCUGUAAUCCCAGCACUUUGGGAGGCCUAGGCAGGCGGAUCACUUGAGGUCAGGAGUUUGAGACCAGCCUGGCCAACAUGGAGAAACCUCGUCUCUACUAUAAAUACAAAAUUUGCCAGGUGUGGUGGCACAUGCUUGUAAUUCCAGCUACUUGGGAGGCUGAAGCAGGAGAAUUGCUUGAACCCGGGAGGCGGAGGUUGCGGUGAGCCGAGAUCAUGCCAUUGCACUACAGCCUGGGCAACAAAGGUGAAACUUCGACUCAAAAAAAAAAUAUAUAUAUAUAUAUAUAUAGGAAGGCACUGGUAGGGAAUUUAAAGCACGGCUGUUGGCCCAAGAACCAUUGGUAGACAGCAUUCUAAAGAAUUAAUUAAGGCCAGGUGUGGUGGCUCACCUCUGCAAUCCCAGCACUUUGGGAGGCCAAGGCGGACGGAUCUCCAGAGGUCCGGAGUUUGAGACCAGCCUGGCCAACAUAGUGAAACCUCGUCUCUACUAAAAAUAGAAAAAUUAGCUGGGCACGGUGGUCCAUGCCUGUAAUCCCAGCUACUCAGGAGGCUGAGUAGGCAGGAGAAUCACUUGAACCCAGGAGGUGGAGGUUGCAGUGACCUGAGAUCGUGCCACUACACUCCAGCCUGGAUGGCAGAGUGAGACUCUGUCUCUAAAUAAAUAAAUAAAAAUGAAGUAAUUAAGCAUUUUCUAUUUUUGGUAAAUUAUUGAUUUUAUAGAAUAUUUAAUGAUUUUCAAUACUUUAGGUUCUCAGUUUAUCAGUUUGUAGAUUAAAUAAGUAAUUUUCUUAGAUUCCCUUCUGAUUCCUAAAAUUUAAUAGGGAUCUUUGAAAAAUAACCUCCCCAGUCCAGAAAAAUUGUCAAAAACUCCUCUAGUUUGGACAAAAUGUAGAGUUUGAGAUGUCUUAGUCAGUAUUUAGUCAGAUAUGAGAGCAAUCAUGAUGUUUCUGGCCUAGAGAGUGGGAAGACUUUCCGACCACUCUGCAUAUGUUCAUAGGGAGACUGUAUUUUGUGGUUGUUUUAUAAAACAAACCACAUAUAUACUUGGAUCGCUUCAAAGCCAAAUAGAAAUGACUAUGUAUUAUCAACUCCUUAGAGAAUUUAAAAUAGCAAUUAUUAAAAAGCACAAAUAAAAUAAACUGCUGGAUUGGAGUGCUAUUCCUUUCACAUGCUUUCAGUGUUUCCUAGGAGCAAAUUCACAUCAUUUCUAGGUUUUGUUAAACACAUUUUAAUUUUAUUAAACCUAAACCAGAUCUUGUUUAUUAGGUUGUUCUUGGCAGGUGUUAUAUAAAAUGAAGUAAAUUGUAUUUAAGAACCACAGAGUAAAAAAUAAAAUCAUGACCUUAAAAUGGAAAAUUUUGGGUUUAUACUAUUCUUUUAAAUCCAUCAACCUGAAAAGUUUCACCAAAAUAGGAGAAUUAGUCACCAUGGAAGAUAGAUCCCUGUAAGGAGAUCAAAUAAAGGUAAACCUAUUCUGUUAAUCUUCUCUCCUUUUACUUCACACCUUCACACCCUGAAUCUUCACUAAUGUAAUCCUCUUAGUAUUUUUUACUAGUUUUUCUUUUUUUCACUUAGUAUUUUUUACCAGUGUAAUCUUCUUCUUUGUAUUGAGUCACAUAAUGGUUACAUCUGUUUUUCCCUGAAUGGACACCAGUUAUAAGUGGGAUGCUUGCUGUUACCAUGGGUCCCAACUUAUCAAGUAAAAACUGCUAUCCUUUAAUCCACUUUAAAAGCCUAUCUUUCAUUCAAAGACUCAAAUAAAAGUGCCUAUCACUCGAAUGCUAAAGGACCAUGCCUGAAUAUGAAUGCAUCACAUUUUGAUGGCUAUAGAUUGCACCCACUUCUAAUAGGUAUCAUCACUUUAUUUAUCAGACUUCUGAAGUCUCAUGUUAUUUUUGUCAUCUGAUAUAAUCUAGCCACUGAUAAAACUGGUUAUGCUACCCCAGAUAUGCAAAGCAAUCUAAUUUUCAUGCCAACCAAAUAAGCCACAGUAUAACUAAAAACAACUUGUUUACGCAUAGACAAUUUUUGCAGGCAUUUUAAAAUAUAACACAGAUGCUAAAGGCUAAUGGCUCGGAUGGCAGAUUAUUCUUAUUUAAAUAUUACAAUUUUUGACUGUAGAGUUACUUUUACAAUAUUAGUGUAAAACUUAACAUUAGAAGCCAAAUAAUUUUAGUAUGUGGAUAUUAUUUAUAAGACCUACUAUGGGAUAAAUCUAGGGUAGGGGUUCCUCAGGAAACAUGACCCUACUAAGGAAGAACUUUUCUCAUUAGGGUGGACAUGAAACCACAACACCAAGAUGUGUAAGAGUUUUCUUUAGAGAAAUGCUUGAGGUUCUAUAAUAGUAGACAAAUACCACACAACAGAAAAUCUAAAUCGUAUUUGUCAACUGGUAUUGUAGUUGCAUGUAUGAAUACAUUUUUAGUGAUGGGAAGGGACAAGAGGGCAGAAGCAUAUUACAUAGCAAGGACCAGCCAACAUUUUUAAUUUAUCCUGGAUUAUAUUCACAAGAUCAGUCUGAAAAAUUUACCCAGACACAAGUAUUUA